ACCCUACUGGUGUAUCGGUUAACAUGGCGGAUUCUCAAACUCGAGUCUUCCGCAGCGCAGGGUUCAACUCCCUGGUAGGGUA
This is a non-coding RNA of Copromyces sp. CBS 386.78, 82 nucleotides long. NCBI's taxonomy places the organism in Eukaryota, Fungi, Ascomycota, Sordariomycetes, Sordariales, Sordariaceae. The record is from the annotation of a GenBank genome assembly.